Molecule: long non-coding RNA, 2724 nt
Organism: Hypanus sabinus (Atlantic stingray)
Lineage: Eukaryota; Metazoa; Chordata; Chondrichthyes; Myliobatiformes; Dasyatidae
Exons: 4
Source: RefSeq, a predicted model, not a curated record
GUCUUAGUUAUUCAUUGGAGGGCAUGUCCUUUAAGAGUUGCUCCACUGGCCCGAUAUGCAGUCUUCUGAUCACUCUGGCUCAUCAGUGGCAUAUCCUGAUUAAUCCCACUUCCUUUCCAUCAAAUACAGUCUUUUUCAUUCUUUCUGGUGCUAAGUAUAGGCAGCACUUCAAUGGACGGGCAACCAACUUUUAAGGACCAUGGUCUUUAGGGAGGGUGUGGGAUGAAGUUGACAGAUAGAGGCGAGAGGGAGAUAAGUGGGAAUCUGCUGGAUGAUCUGAGCGGCUAGUAGUUGGAUUAAAUCAUUCGGGGGAUAGGACAAAAUGAGUGAUAGGGCUGGAAGGGCCAAUGGGAGAACCUGGGUUUGAUUAGAAAGCAAGAGACAGAGAGCGAGUGGGUGGGGAACCUGAAUUUGGAGUAUUCACUGUUGAUAUCAUUGGACUGUAGACCGCACAGGCACAAUAUGAGGUAUACUGUGCAGUGUCCAAUGUGCUCCACUCAAUCCUAAAACUGAAAUAACUUUCUGUAACACUUCUUCCAGCAAAAGAUGAAGAUUCUCUUCCCAUUUUAUGGAAAAGGGUGAAGAAAACUGAACAUAAUACUCCAAAUAUGGCCUCACCAACAUCUUUACCUGCAAUAUAACAACCUAACUGAAUGCCCUAAUUGAUGAAGUGAAUAAAACUGAUGAUUGAACUUAACAUAAGGACACCCACAGUCAUCUGCAGAGGUCCAGUAUACAGCCUGCUAACUUCAUGGCCUUGGACAUUCAAGGAUUGUGCCAAUCUUUCAACAAUCAGCUCCGUGAGGAGGGCUGUUCAGUCUCAAAGAUUUCUGAACCAAGCAGGAAGACAAGAAAGCCUGGGAAAAGUAACAGAAGUUGCAAUUCUGCAAUGUAAGACAUCUUCCCUACAAAUCUUGGCGCUGUCAGUGACAAGCAUAGUGAAAGGUUUCACCAGGACAUUGCAGAAAUGGAGAAAUCGUAUCAAGGCAACUGGAAUCCAUCAAAGCUGGAUGAUUAUUGUUGGAUACUUAAGUGAGAAACCUCACACCCUGAGUACAAAUGAAGUUCUUUGAUAAAAACAUUUUAAAUUCAGUUGAAGUAUUGCAAUGCAAUAAAACAUACUAUAUUUAACAAAAGUUAAUUUCUUGUUCCUCCAAAUUCCUAUGUGAUACAAGUAUUCUGAAAUUAUAUUCACAUUCAGCUUCAAGUGUUCUGUCAUAAAAAAAAGUUCCAAGGAAGCAACACUUUCGAAGAAAAUUGUGGUGUAGUGUGAUUGACACUACAGUGCCUUAUUGGAAUUCCUAUAUGUCUUAUCUACAUCCAAAUUGAUUUCUUAUUUCCCAAGAUUCAAAAUAAAAUUAGACAUCAUUGUAAAUUGUUGUACUACCAACUUGGUCACAGUUCACUAAGCAAUAUUAUGAGGUUGUGAAAGACAUUGUUCAAAUGCAAGUGCUGUAUUUUCUGAUAUUUGUUAACUGUAUUUUUUCAUCUGACACGUUCUAAUGAAUAUUGACUGUGACACCAAAGUAACCGUUUAAUUGACAGACUUUUGUUGUGAGCAUUGGUCUUAAUUGGAUGUGAUUGAAUUAACAAUAGAAAAAUCAAUGCUAAUUUCAGAAGUUAAUAUUGACCUCAGGAGAGACUCACAAAAAUAUACCAAGUGUGCACCUAGAUGUCUGUUCAACAAACAAAUGAGCCUGAGACAAACAGUUUAAGAACUACCUAUGUUGACCAAGAGAAUCAAAAUUAAAUAUGUUAAAGUCCCUCAUUGCUUAAUGGCAAACAAUCAAUACAAUGCCACAGGAAUUUGUGAUCAUAAAGAUUAUUAGUUAUUUACUUAGGCUUCACAAUGUUUUAGUAAUGGGAUUUUAUUUUCCAAGAUAAAACUGGAAUAAAAAUGCGAGUGUUAGCAUUUCUGAACCUGCAGCAAUACUGUUGUUAUGAUGCUGGUUUGUGACCCUAAUUGUGAGCGAGAAUAAAAAUCUCAAAGUCAUCUGGCAAGAUAAGGGGAGACAGAAGAGCAUUGUACACCUAAUGACGGACUCCUCUGCAUCCUUGAUGUCAUGGGUCAUCCAUGUUAAGAAUGUGUGUGUCCAAUCAUCUGCUGAUUGUUAUCAUGCUAGGCCUCAAGCACAAAUCAGACAUGAACUAAUUUUGUGCUACAGUGAAUGAACAAUGACCUUUUGGAACACUGAUGACUGUAUGAUAGAGUUAUGCAUUUAUUGCUUAAAAUAUGGUGACAUUAGCCAGUGCACCAAUUACAGAACAACUCCUUCCAUUAGAUUCCACCAACUGUUUAUGUGUUUAUUUAUGACUUAUUUUGAAAACAGUCAAGCAGAAUAAUAGUCAGGGCUAUACAUACAAACACAAUCAUUGUCUAUGUAAAUGAAACAGAAGGAUUAUUGUACUAUUUUGCUUCCAACAUAACCCCACUAUUUUUUAUCUCUCUAAAAAUACUGUUAAAUAAUGAAUAUCUUCUUCAGUUCAUUUGUUUUUUUUUCUCUAUCCUGGAAGGGGUGUUAAGAGUGUAUAACUCUAUAAAAAGUAAAUGCAAUCAGCUUUUGUUUCAUGUCAUUUCACUGUUAUACAAUAGUUCAAUAGUCACAUUAUUGCUAUGACAAUGAACCUGAAUACAUCAAAUUUAUGACAGCACUGAAUGAGGUUGUGUUUUUCUCUCCCUUUGGAACAUUAUCAGCUAAUACAUACAUACAUCACAUCCCAUUG